RNAcentral lists this ribosomal RNA (514 nucleotides) under Staphylococcus aureus. RNAcentral's name for it is "bacterial SSU rRNA". It matches the Rfam family "Bacterial small subunit ribosomal RNA", at positions 321 to 828 of the family's 1533-position model. The record is from RNAcentral. Lineage: Bacteria; Bacillati; Bacillota; Bacilli; Caryophanales; Staphylococcaceae.
GAGACAGGUCCAGACUCCUACGGGAGGCAGCAGUAGGGAAUCUUCCGCAAUGGGCGAAAGCCUGACGGAGCAACGCCGCGUGAGUGAUGAAGGUCUUCGGAUCGUAAAACUCUGUUAUUAGGGAAGAACAUAUGUGUAAGUAACUGUGCACAUCUUGACGGUACCUAAUCAGAAAGCCACGGCUAACUACGUGCCAGCAGCCGCGGUAAUACGUAGGUGGCAAGCGUUAUCCGGAAUUAUUGGGCGUAAAGCGCGCGUAGGCGGUUUUUUAAGUCUGAUGUGAAAGCCCACGGCUCAACCGUGGAGGGUCAUUGGAAACUGGAAAACUUGAGUGCAGAAGAGGAAAGUGGAAUUCCAUGUGUAGCGGUGAAAUGCGCAGAGAUAUGGAGGAACACCAGUGGCGAAGGCGACUUUCUGGUCUGUAACUGACGCUGAUGUGCGAAAGCGUGGGGAUCAAACAGGAUUAGAUACCCUGGUAGUCCACGCCGUAAACGAUGAGUGCUAAGUGUUAGGG